RNAcentral lists this ribosomal RNA (253 nucleotides) under uncultured bacterium. RNAcentral describes it as "partial 16S ribosomal RNA". It matches the Rfam family "Bacterial small subunit ribosomal RNA", at positions 524 to 776 of the family's 1533-position model. The record is from RNAcentral.
UACGGGGGGGGCAAGCGUUGUUCGGAAUUACUGGGCGUAAAGGGCUCGUAGGCGGCCAACUAAGUCAGACGUGAAAUCCCUCAGCUUAACUGGGGAACUGCGUCUGAUACUGGAUGGCUUGAGUUCGGGAGAGGGAUGCGGAAUUCCAGGUGUAGCGGUGAAAUGCGUAGAUAUCUGGAGGAACACCGGUGGCGAAGGCGGCAUCCUGGACCGACACUGACGCUGAGGAGCGAAAGCCAGGGGAGCAAACGGG